UGGAUCCAAAGGAACUCAGCAUAUAAUUAAAUUAAGAUGUGCAUGUGUGAUGGAGUAAUGAUAGUGAUGAUAAGUGAUAAUAAAACUUAGUUCUCAUUGCUCCUCAUAUUGCUAUCUCUCCUCUUCUUUGAUCUUUGCUUUGGGAGAACAUGGGCUAUCUCUUUUUCUUCUGUUGUUUUUUUUCAGGUGGGUAGUAGAUACCCCUAAUUCUACUGUCGGACACUUGUCCACUUUUACCUCUCGUCUCACUCUUUUUCUUUCUUUUUCGAGGUUCCGGGCACUUGCCUCUUUUUAUAUCCUCGCAUAUUUUUGCAUAACUUAUGUCUCUUCUACAUUGAAUCUUUUUAGAGAGAGAGAAUAACAAUAUUCGUGACAGUGAGUGAUAAUAUUUUUAGCAAUUUUAAUGAUUGGUAAUGAAUGCUGUGGUAGAUGUGUGCAAGUGAAUAUCUUAAUUUAACCACAUGAAAAGCUCCUAAGGGUCUACACAGCUCGAUCAAACUCAAUGUAAAUAUAGUAAAAGAUGUUAUAGCAAGUAUGGCUGUGGUAGGUAGUUUGUUAUGCUAGGAACUCAUCAUGUGACUUGUAAGUUUUCAAAAUAAAUCUCUAGAACUUAGUGUAGUAGGAACAAGAUAAACAGUAGCUCAACUUU
Molecule: long non-coding RNA, 649 nt
Filed under: Sorghum bicolor (sorghum)
Lineage: Eukaryota; Viridiplantae; Streptophyta; Magnoliopsida; Poales; Poaceae
Description: long non-coding RNA (SBIC_LNC002441)
Source: RNAcentral